GUUGCCUGCAAGAUGUAGGACUCUCAGC
RNAcentral lists this non-coding RNA (28 nucleotides) under Cricetulus griseus (Chinese hamster). The record is from RNAcentral. Lineage: Eukaryota; Metazoa; Chordata; Mammalia; Rodentia; Cricetidae.